Xiphophorus hellerii (green swordtail) is the source of this 3783-nucleotide long non-coding RNA. RefSeq lists it as uncharacterized. NCBI's taxonomy places the organism in Eukaryota, Metazoa, Chordata, Actinopteri, Cyprinodontiformes, Poeciliidae. The record is from RefSeq and is a predicted model, not a curated record. The transcript is spliced from 3 exons.
AUGUUGAUAAAAACUAAUGAAAACCCCAAGUUCAGUAUCUUAGAAAAUUAGAAUAUUACUUAAGACCAAUACUAAAAAAGGAUUUUUAGAAAUGUUGGCUAACUGAAAAGUAUGAACAUGAAAGGUAUGAACAUGUACAGCACUCAGUACGUAGUUGGGGCUCCUUUUGCCCAGAUUACUUCACUCUAAAACGCAAUACCUAUUCUUACUUAGAUUAGGUUUGUAUGUUUUGCUUAAGUCUCACUAAAAUGUUGUAACUCAAGUAAUGUCAGUAAUGUACAUGUUUGGCCUGAGAAAGUUACCAGACUAGGUUAUUUUUAGUAAAAUGGAUUUGAAUAUUUUUGUUACUGGAGUGAAUGCUUCAGCUCAGCAGUGCGCAUGGGCAGUAAAGUCGUGCAGGAAGCUUUCAGAACAUUUAUGGACUUGCACAUUGGAAGAAGCAAAUCUUUAACGGUGAGUUAUUUGUCGUCAGUACAUUUUCAUGUGUUAUGUAUGCCUUUACUACUUGCAUAUAUGGCUACAGGUUGAUUUUUCUUAUAAAUGAUGAUGAAUCAAACUCUUUGCAGGCUAAUAUGCUAAUGUUAGCAUGGGAUAAUGGGUCCAACAUUUACUAAAACGGACAUAACUUUUUCUUGAGAGUCUUUAAUGUUUUUGUCCAUGAUAAGAGAUCUGACUAAUAAUUAUCUACCUUUAAACUGCAACCCUUCAGCAUGUUUUUUUAAGCAUAAACUCAGCCUGCUAACGUUCAUGUAGAAUUAAUUUUACUCGUGGAUUUCUUCAGUCAACCAUUUAGGAUCCAAAGAAGCAUUAAAUGCCGGUUGACUUGUUUAUGCCGGACCAAUGAUCUUGUUGCCAUGAGGACUGCUGCCCUGCAAUGUCUCCCAGUUUUCCUCAAGGAAAGAGUUCUACAGUGUCUCUAACUUCAGAUGCCAUGGCAGACUUUAUCCAGGUUCCUGUGGGGUUAUUGACUGUUAUGUUAUGCUAAGUAUAUUACAGUAUUUUGUUAAAAUAAAACAUUGAAUCUUAUGAACUUAAAAUCUUUUUCGUGGUUACUUAAUUUAUUUAAGGCAAUGGGUUUCCCAGAUUCUUCUAAGUAAACUGUACUGUUAAUGUAAGUUGGACUAACUUGAAGUAGUUGAGUUAAGAAGGGGAUAAUUUACUUGCCAUUUCUAAGUUGACUCAACUUCACUAAACUAAGUUAAUUUAACUUAACACAAUUUAGUUAAUACAACAAAGUCCUAAGUACACUGACUUUGUAAACAAACUGUAAACAAAACGUACGAAUAGUAGUUAAACUUACUUAUACUGAACAAAAAUAUAAACGCCAUGUUGCCUCCUUGACAUUGUUGCCAUGUGGAGUUAACAACUGUAAAUGAGCAUUUGCUAACAUUUUAUUAUACAAAAGUAAUAUUUCUCUUGAUUUGUGUAUAAUUUUUAAUCCAACUUCCUGUCAGUGAGCGUUGGUGAGUUGUUCUUUUACUCAGUGCAUGGGUGGGACACGUCCACUGGGUGAUCAGACAAAAUGAGCACCAACUGGACAAUCCUUGUUAUGUGGGAGCAUAACUUGCGACAGAACAGUGCAUAACUGCAUUGGCAUGUUGGAUGCAGGGACGUCCACCACAUCAGUAACUGGCGGCUCAAUGUCCGUUAUCGGACCAUAGGCUGUUUAUACGAGGGGCCGUUUAGGACAAAAACUAUAUUUUGUCUCACACACAUGACUAAAGACUCAUGCAUGCACACAAAAUAUUAAAAUUGCACAUGUAUACUAUUAAAAUAUCACACACACAUACAAUUUUUCUCUCACAUUCACACACAAAAGACUAAGAUUGCGCAUAUACACUGCUCGGGUCUCUAACGCCGCUUACUCCGGCUCUAAUGCCUUACUCCAACGUUAGAGCUGGAAUACGCGGCGAUUGAGCUUCUCCUGCUCUAACGCUGCUUAAUAAGGCACUAGAGGUGGAGUAAGCGGCGUUAGUCUGCUCUUUGUGAGUCUUCCCCACAUUUUUGAACGGGUGUUGUUUCACAAUCCUUUCCAGAAUGUGGAUAUUCCGAUUGCUUGUCCAUUUGUUUUUCUACCACAUCUUUUCCUUCCCUUCACCUCUCCAUGAACAUGCUUGGACACUCUGUGCUCAGCCAGCCUCUUUAGCAAUGACGUUUGUGUCUUGCCCUCUUGUGCAAUUUGUCAAAGGUCAUCUUUUGGACGACUGGCAGAUCAGAUGUCAUCCCCAUGAUUGUGUAGCCUACAGAACUGGACUGAGGCUAUUUAAAAGCAUUUGGGGGUGUUUUGAGUUAAUUAGCUGAUUUGAGUGUGUCACCAGGGGUCUUCAAUACUGAACCUUUUCACAAUAUUCUAAUUUUCUGAGAUACUGAAUUUGGAGUUUUCAUUAGUUUUCAGUAAUCAUAAACAUUUAAAGAAAUAAACACUGGAAAUAUAUCAGUCUGUAUGUAAUGAAUGGAUAUAAUAUACGAAUUUUACAUUUUGAAUGGAAUUACUGACUUAAACUUUUUUAUGAUAUUUCUUUUUUUUGACCGUCACCUGUAUAUCUAAUGUGCAAAAACCAAAGGACGUAUGCAAUAUAAUUUUUCUACAAUUUUCUUUUAAAAUUGUUGUAGAAAUAGUUGCACUCCUUUCUCUGUCUGAAAUCAAGAAAUGUAUCCAAAAAUAUGACAGAAAAAAGCAAGCUUGAAACAGCUAAGAAUGCAGCCAAACAUUUUACAUAGAGAGAUGUUAGGAAAACUAAAUCCAGACCCAAGUGCAUUUCAAUGUCCGCCCAACUGGAAACUAGUAAGAGCAAAGUCUGUCACUCCUAUUUGAGCUCCAUAAAAGCAAGACUUAUUCCAGGCUUUUUCCAGUCAGGUGGAGGAGUUUGAGUCUAAUGGUGUCUAAAAGUAGUAGCUUGAAUACCCAAUAGACUGACACCCUAACCAGAGUAAUAAAAGCAUUCUGCAACAAGCUCAGUCUGCCUGGAAUUCAGUACAAUUACAAAUAAUGGUUGUGACUAAAGCCAUAGUUCAAAAACAUAGCUAGACGACAGCUUUGUCUAAUUUGCAUAUUUGGUCAUAUGUGAUCUGGGCACUAUAGAAAUCAACACCAGCAAAGCAAAAGUGAUUAAAAAUACUUGAAACAUUUAGAACUACAAAUAAACGUUGUGAAAUAAUUUACUAAAUUUAAAUUUAAUAAUGUAAAUACUUUGUUUGAACCUACUCUAAGUAAAUGUUUUGCAUGACUUUAAUUUAACCAAGAGAUACUUAUCAGAGGCAGUGGAAGAGAUAAAUCGGUGACUAAGGCUUUGUGAAUCAAUUCCAAACUUUAGAAAACAUGACAGCUUUGUGCAGUCAUGAUUCCAUCGUGAUUUGCAAGCAGAAUGGAGUGGGUCUCCUCUCUGCUCUACUGCCGGCUGCUGUCAGCCAGAUUGACCGCCUGCAUAUGCUUCAGAGGUGGGAGAGGCUGACAGCAGCUCUCACCGCUUGCUGUACACUCCCCAUUCUCCAUAUAUAAAUAGGCAUUCUGCUUGAAAAACGAUGGAAAUGACGACUGUAAGGUUUGGAUGACAUCAACAAAACAGUCUGCACAAAUAUGUUAUCUUGGGUUCUGGAUCUGGGACUCCAACCUGAUGUCUGAGCCAAGAAUAUUGAAAGUCAAGUUUGACUUUAUUAAUAUUAUUUUAAAAAUAUAUAUAUAUUUGUUUAACGAUGAAACAGAUGCUUGUCCUAAGUGGAUGAGCUUGGGAGGAGCUCAUUAUGUUUAGUAUCAAAAUACUUUCUGAUCUAUAUAUUGUAUUU